AGAGUUUGAUCCUGGCUCAGGAUGAACGCUAGCGGCAGGCUUAAUACAUGCAAGUCGUGGGGCAGCAGGGGUAGCAAUACCCGCUGGCGACCGGCAAACGGGUGCGGAACACGUACGCAACCUUCCUUUAACUGGAGAAUAGCCCCUCGAAAGAGGGAUUAAUACUCCGUAACAUAUACAUGUGGCAUCACAAGUAUAUUAUAGCUCCGGCGGUUAAAGAUGGGCGUGCGCCUGAUUAGAUAGUUGGCGGGGUAACGGCCCACCAAGCCUGCGAUCAGUAACUGGUGUGAGAGCACGACCAGUCACACGGGCACUGAGACACGGGCCCGACUCCUACGGGAGGCAGCAGUAAGGAAUAUUGGUCAAUGGACGCAAGUCUGAACCAGCCAUGCCGCGUGGAGGAUGAAGGCCCUCUGGGUUGUAAACUUCUUUUAUAGGGGACGAAACCCUGGUAUUCUUACCAGAUUGACGGUACCCUAGGAAUAAGCACCGGCUAACUCCGUGCCAGCCGCCGCGGUAAUAC
RNAcentral lists this ribosomal RNA (523 nucleotides) under uncultured bacterium. RNAcentral describes it as "bacterial SSU rRNA". It matches the Rfam family "Bacterial small subunit ribosomal RNA", at positions 8 to 526 of the family's 1533-position model. The record is from RNAcentral.